ACGAACGCUGGCGGCGUGCUUAACACAUGCAAGUCGAACGGAAAGGCCCUGCUUUUGUGGGGUGCUCGAGUGGCGAACGGGUGAGUAACACGUGAGUAACCUGCCCUUGACUUUGGGAUAACUUCAGGAAACUGGGGCUAAUACCGGAUAGGAGCUCCUGCUGCAUGGUGGGGGUUGGAAAGUUUCGGCGGUUGGGGAUGGACUCGCGGCUUAUCAGCUUGUUGGUGGGGUAGUGGCUUACCAAGGCUUUGACGGGUAGCCGGCCUGAGAGGGUGACCGGCCACAUUGGGACUGAGAUACGGCCCAGACUCCUACGGGAGGCAGCAGUGGGGAAUAUUGCACAAUGGGCGGAAGCCUGAUGCAGCAACCCCGCGUGCGGGAUGACGGCCUUCGGGUUGUAAACCGCUUUCGCCUGUGACGAAGCGUGAGUGACGGUAAUGGGUAAAGAAGCACCGGCUAACUACGUG
This 467-nucleotide ribosomal RNA is filed under the name uncultured bacterium. Its description in RNAcentral is "partial 16S ribosomal RNA". It matches the Rfam family "Bacterial small subunit ribosomal RNA", at positions 29 to 507 of the family's 1533-position model. The record is from RNAcentral.